This 495-nucleotide ribosomal RNA is filed under the name uncultured delta proteobacterium. RNAcentral describes it as "bacterial SSU rRNA". It matches the Rfam family "Bacterial small subunit ribosomal RNA", at positions 60 to 527 of the family's 1533-position model. Lineage: Bacteria; Deltaproteobacteria. The record is from RNAcentral.
AGUCGAACGAGAAAUCUCCUGCUUGCAGGGGAGAGUAAAGUGGCGCACGGGUGAGUAACACGUGGGCAAUCUACCCCCGAAUCAGGAAUAACCCCGCGAAAGCGGGGCUAAUACCCGAUAAGACCACAUUCGCCACGGCGAAAGGGGUAAAAGGUGGCCUCUAGAUCUAAGCUACCAUUUGGGGAGGAGCCCGCGGACCAUUAGCUUGUUGGUAGGGUAAAGGCCUACCAAGGCAAAGAUGGUUAGCUGGUCUGAGAGGAUGGCCAGCCACACUGGAACUGGAAUACGGUCCAGACUCCUACGGGAGGCAGCAGUGAGGAAUAUUGCGCAAUGGGGGAAACCCUGACGCAGCAACGCCGCGUGAGUGAAGAAGGCCUUCGGGUCGUAAAGCUCUGUCAAGUGGGAAGAACCUCCCCGGGUCCAAUAAACCCGGGGACUGACGGUACCACUGGAGGAAGCACCGGCCAACUCCGUGCCAGCCGCCGCGGUAAUUCA